Long non-coding RNA from Ipomoea nil (Japanese morning glory), 97 nucleotides. RefSeq lists it as uncharacterized. The transcript is spliced from 3 exons. NCBI's taxonomy places the organism in Eukaryota, Viridiplantae, Streptophyta, Magnoliopsida, Solanales, Convolvulaceae. The record is from RefSeq and is a predicted model, not a curated record.
CAAAUAAUGUAACAAAUCUAAGGGUAUGUUUGGUUCACACAUAGGAAUUGGAAUCAGAAUAGAAAUCAAAUACUUAGUAAGGGUAAUGAGUUUUGGU